Molecule: long non-coding RNA, 702 nt
Organism: Perca fluviatilis (European perch)
Lineage: Eukaryota; Metazoa; Chordata; Actinopteri; Perciformes; Percidae
Exons: 3
Source: RefSeq, a predicted model, not a curated record
AAAACGGGUCAAUUUGACCCGAAGUCAACACAAGGCAAACAGCAAAUCGUUUUUUGUUAAUUUUAGAGAAACCCCGACUAAAAGUCCUCCUACAACCUCCACCACCUCUGGCUUCACCACUUCUUCCCCUCCCCCCGGCUCCUCUCCUCCUCCCCCAGGCUCCUCUCCUCCUCCCCCAGGCUCCUCUCCUCCUCCCCCAGACUCCUCUCCUCCUCCCCUUGUGUUGUGGUCCAUUGUCGGUGUCCCGGUUUUCCUGGUUAUCCUGGUGAGACGAUGCAUCUGUAGCAAACCUAAAGCUGCUCAAGCUGAGGCUGGAGAUGAUGACAUCACAUACAAUGAUGUCACAAUAUCGAGACGGAGCAGAGAGAGUUAUUCAAUUGCAAUCUACUCCGGAGUGAGAACAGAAGACGUCAGUCACGGACAAACAGGGAUCAAAGACAAGAAAUCAACCAGGAAGAGACUAUUUCGAUUAGCAGAUUAAUCCUCAUCUGGUGCUCUAGUGAGUAUUAGUGAAUGAACUACAGUGUGUGUUCAUGGUGAUGAAGAAACAUGUCAUCCACUGCAACAGGGACCAUCUUUACAUGCACAAUAUUUUGCCCUUAGGGCUAACCCUAACCCUGAUAUCAUUUUAAAAGGCUAAGUGAGAAAACAUUGGAGAACCCUUUUUCAAUUAUGUAAUCACGUAAUGUAAUCUGAAAACUG